UUUUUAGAGACAGAGUUCUCUCUGUGUUUCCCAAUCUGGUCCCGAACUCCUAGGGUCAAGCAGUCCUCUUGCCUCAGCCUCCCAAAGUGCUGGGACUACAGGCAUGAGCCACUAUACCCAGCCUACCAUCAAUUAUUCGCUUGCUAUUAACUGUAUACUGUUGACUGUGGGUCAGUUGCACAGAUCCUGAAAUCUCAUUCUAUAUUUGCCUGUCAUCUUAGAGAGCAGCCAGCUCAUUACCAUUUAUUAGGUCAUAAUAUGGAUAUUUUCACAAGGUUCUUAGGUAUUUUUAAGUGCCAAAUAAAAGCCAUCAUCCCGAUGUGCAAGUGCCAGAUGAAAGGGUUUGGAUGGUCACAAACAACAUUAGGCCCUUGAAGUCUCAUCCAUUUGAAUAUGAAGCUUGUUUGGCCCAGUCUGUGUAUAUGUGCCUGGCCAGAAUGAGAGCCCAGUCAGGGAAGCCACUUUUCCCACUCACCAAAAAAAAAAAAAAAAAAAA
Molecule: long non-coding RNA, 496 nt
Organism: Sapajus apella (tufted capuchin)
Lineage: Eukaryota; Metazoa; Chordata; Mammalia; Primates; Cebidae
Exons: 2
Source: RefSeq, a predicted model, not a curated record